This 66-nucleotide transfer RNA is filed under the name uncultured Gemmiger sp. It matches the Rfam family "tRNA", at positions 5 to 66 of the family's 71-position model. From Rfam's summary of the family: Transfer RNA (tRNA) molecules are approximately 80 nucleotides in length. Their secondary structure includes four short double-helical elements and three loops (D, anti-codon, and T loops). Lineage: Bacteria; Bacillati; Bacillota; Clostridia; Eubacteriales; Oscillospiraceae. RNAcentral also lists the same sequence under 1 other name. The record is from RNAcentral.
GGUGUAGCGCAGUUGGUAGCGCGCUUGGUUCGGGACCAAGAGGCCGUGGGUUCAAAUCCCGUCACU